Molecule: long non-coding RNA, 876 nt
Filed under: Mus pahari (shrew mouse)
Lineage: Eukaryota; Metazoa; Chordata; Mammalia; Rodentia; Muridae
Description: predicted gene 27207 (MGP_PahariEiJ_G0005163.1)
Source: RNAcentral
CCUAGAGAGCUGUGCCAUCUCAUGGCCUGUACAGUUCUUUUCCAUCCUUCUCUCACAAUGCCAAGGAGAAAAAUGUCAUUUCGGUGCUCGUCCAUCUUGACAUUUCCAUGUAAAACUCAACUGCAAACUCAGAACAAACAGCAAACAAAAUCUUGCUAAGAUUUGACUUUCAUGCUAACUCUUAAUACAGUUUUUCAUCUCUGUACAGAUAUGGUCCCUCUUCUUAUUCCAUGGAUUACAGCAUGUCAAGUUUUGUAUUCUUAAGUGUGUACAGCUAGUGAAACCAAAUUACAGCUGGCUAUUGUCCUGCAGACUCCAUAUUUUCUAGGCAAAAACAAGCUAAAGGCUGUUGGAGGUUCAGUCCCCCCACAUGUAAGGACUGCUGCCCCCCACCCCCACCCCAACACAGGGACUACGAGGCAAACCUGCAGUCAGUGCUGCUGUCACAUCUGGAAUGUUCACAAGCUGCUGUGGCAACCCAUUCCCCAUGGCCUUCAAGUCUUUCAGACGGAAUGAAAAUGGCGCUAUAAUGACAGUUUAUGAAAUGAAAGCAAAUAUAGUGGCCUUGCAUCGCAGACUUUCUAUAGCAGAGAGGAUGGUAAUAAAGACAGAAAGUGCAUGCUGACCCCCACCUUGCUGUAUUUCCAUAACAACGCAGCUCUGUAGCUCCAGUGGGGCAAGGCAUCAAGCGAGAGAGAGUUAUGGAUGCUUCCUUUAUGUGCAGAUUCUUCAGUGUCAGAGAAGGGGGAGGGGCUUCUCUGAGGUGAGUUUUCUUAGGUCAUUGAUAAAAGAUAAAUUCCCUAAAGUGAAUCUUUGGAAAUCGUUUGUUUGCUAGUGGAUUCUCAAACACGCUUGCCAAUGAGAGAAAGCCCGAGG